GAUGAACGCUGGCGGCGUGCUUAACACAUGCAAGUCGAACGGAAAGGCUAGUGCUUGCACUGGUACUCGAGUGGCGAACGGGUGAGUAACACGUGGGUGAUCUGCCCUGCACUUCGGGAUAAGCCUGGGAAACUGGGUCUAAUACCGGAUAGGACCAUCGUCUAGUGUCGGUGGUGGAAAGUUUUUCGGUGUGGGAUGAGCUCGCGGCCUAUCAGCUUGUUGGUGGGGUAAUGGCCUACCAAGGCGUCGACGGGUAGCCGGCCUGAGAGGGUGUACGGCCACAUUGGGACUGAGAUACGGCCCAGACUCCUACGGGAGGCAGCAGUGGGGAAUAUUGCACAAUGGGCGGAAGCCUGAUGCAGCGACGCCGCGUGGGGGAUGACGGCCUUCGGGUUGUAAACUCCUUUCGUCAGGGACGAAGCGAAAGUGACGGUACCUGGAUAAGAAGCACCGGCUAACUACGUG
Molecule: ribosomal RNA, 465 nt
Filed under: uncultured bacterium
Lineage: Bacteria
Description: partial 16S ribosomal RNA
Rfam family: Bacterial small subunit ribosomal RNA
Source: RNAcentral